AGUGAACGCUGGCGGUAGGCCUAACACAUGCAAGUCGAACGGCAGCACAGUAAGAGCUUGCUCUUACGGGUGGCGAGUGGCGGACGGGUGAGGAAUACAUCGGAAUCUACUUUUUCGUGGGGGAUAACGUAGGGAAACUUACGCUAAUACCGCAUACGACCUACGGGUGAAAGCAGGGGAUCUUCGGACCUUGCGCGAUUGAAUGAGCCGAUGUCGGAUUAGCUUGUUGGCGGGGUAAAGGCCCACCAAGGCGACGAUCCGUAGCUGGUCUGAGAGGGUGAUCGGCCACACUGGAACUGAGACAGGGUCCAGACUCAUACGGGAGGCAGCAGUGGGGGAGAUGGGACAAGGAGCGCAAGCCUGAUCCAGCCAUACCGCGGGGGUGAGGAAGGCCUUCGGGUUGUAAAGCCCUUUUGUUGGGAAAGAAAAGCAGCAGAUGAAUACCGCGCGUUUCUGACGGUACCCAAAGAAUAAGCACCGGCUAACUACGUG
RNAcentral lists this ribosomal RNA (492 nucleotides) under uncultured bacterium. RNAcentral's name for it is "partial 16S ribosomal RNA". It matches the Rfam family "Bacterial small subunit ribosomal RNA", at positions 29 to 507 of the family's 1533-position model. The record is from RNAcentral.